GAUGAACGCUGGCGGCGUGCUUAGCACAUGCAAGUCGAACGAUGAAGCUCAGCUUGCUGGGUGGAUUAGUGGCGAACGGGUGAGUAACACGUGAGUAACCUGCCCUUUACUCUGGGAUAAGCCUGGGAAACUAGGUCUAAUACCGGAUAGGAGCGCCUACCGCAUGGUGGGUGUUGGAAAGAUUUAUCGGUUUUGGAUGGACUCGCGGCCUAUCAGCUUGUUGGUGAGGUAAUGGCUCACCAAGGCGACGACGGGUAGCCGGCCUGAGAGGGUGACCGGCCACACUGGGACUGAGACACGGCCCAGACUCCUACGGGAGGCAGCAGUGGGGAAUAUUGCACAAUGGGCGAAAGCCUGAUGCAGCGACGCCGCGUGAGGGAUGACGGCCUUCGGGUUGUAAACCUCUUUCAGUAGGGAAGAAGCGAAAGUGACGGUACCUGCAGAAGAAGCACCGGCUAACUACGU
RNAcentral lists this ribosomal RNA (465 nucleotides) under uncultured bacterium. RNAcentral describes it as "partial 16S ribosomal RNA". It matches the Rfam family "Bacterial small subunit ribosomal RNA", at positions 28 to 506 of the family's 1533-position model. The record is from RNAcentral.